GGUUAAGCGACUAAGCGUACACGGUGGAUGCCCUGGCAGUCAGAGGCGAUGAAGGACGUGCUAAUCUGCGAUAAGCGUCGGUGAGGUGAUAUGAACCGUUAUAACCGGCGAUUUCCGAAUGGGGAAACCCAGUGUGAUUCGUCACACUAUCAUUAACUGAAUCCAUAGGUUAAUGAGGCGAACCGGGGGAACUGAAACAUCUAAGUACCCCGAGGAAAAGAAAUCAACCGAGAUUCCCCCAGUAGCGGCGAGCGAACGGGGAGGAGCCCAGAGCCUGAAUCAGUGUGUGUGUUAGUGGAAGCGUCUGGAAAGGCGCGCGAUACAGGGUGACAGCCCCGUACACAAAAAUGCACAUAUUGUGAGCUCGAUGAGUAGGGCGGGACACGUGGUAUCCUGUCUGAAUAUGGGGGGACCAUCCUCCAAGGCUAAAUACUCCUGACUGACCGAUAGUGAACCAGUACCGUGAGGGAAAGGCGAAAAGAACCCCGGCGAGGGGAGUGAAAAAGAACCUGAAACCGUGUACGUACAAGCAGUGGGAGCCUCUUAAUGGGGUGACUGCGUACCUUUUGUAUAAUGGGUCAGCGACUUAUAUUCUGUAGCAAGGUUAACCGAAUAGGGGAGCCGAAGGGAAACCGAGUCUUAACUGGGCGUUAAGUUGCAGGGUAUAGACCCGAAACCCGGUGAUCUAGCCAUGGGCAGGUUGAAGGUUGGGUAACACUAACUGGAGGACCGAACCGACUAAUGUUGAAAAAUUAGCGGAUGACUUGUGGCUGGGGGUGAAAGGCCAAUCAAACCGGGAGAUAGCUGGUUCUCCCCGAAAGCUAUUUAGGUAGCGCCUCGUGAAUUCAUCUCCGGGGGUAGAGCACUGUUUCGGCAAGGGGGUCAUCCCGACUUACCAACCCGAUGCAAACUGCGAAUACCGGAGAAUGUUAUCACGGGAGACACACGGCGGGUGCUAACGUCCGUCGUGAAGAGGGAAACAACCCAGACCGCCAGCUAAGGUCCCAAAGUCAUGGUUAAGUGGGAAACGAUGUGGGAAGGCCCAGACAGCCAGGAUGUUGGCUUAGAAGCAGCCAUCAUUUAAAGAAAGCGUAAUAGCUCACUGGUCGAGUCGGCCUGCGCGGAAGAUGUAACGGGGCUAAACCAUGCACCGAAGCUGCGGCAGCGACACUAUGUGUUGUUGGGUAGGGGAGCGUUCUGUAAGCCUGUGAAGGUGGCCUGUGAGGGUUGCUGGAGGUAUCAGAAGUGCGAAUGCUGACAUAAGUAACGAUAAAGCGGGUGAAAAGCCCGCUCGCCGGAAGACCAAGGGUUCCUGUCCAACGUUAAUCGGGGCAGGGUGAGUCGACCCCUAAGGCGAGGCCGAAAGGCGUAGUCGAUGGGAAACAGGUUAAUAUUCCUGUACUUGGUGUUACUGCGAAGGGGGGACGGAGAAGGCUAUGUUGGCCGGGCGACGGUUGUCCCGGUUUAAGCGUGUAGGCUGGUUUUCCAGGCAAAUCCGGAAAAUCAAGGCUGAGGCGUGAUGACGAGGCACUACGGUGCUGAAGCGACAAAUGCCCUGCUUCCAGGAAAAGCCUCUAAGCAUCAGGUAACAUCAAAUCGUACCCCAAACCGACACAGGUGGUCAGGUAGAGAAUACCAAGGCGCUUGAGAGAACUCGGGUGAAGGAACUAGGCAAAAUGGUGCCGUAACUUCGGGAGAAGGCACGCUGAUAUGUAGGUGAAGCGACUUGCUCGUGGAGCUGAAAUCAGUCGAAGAUACCAGCUGGCUGCAACUGUUUAUUAAAAACACAGCACUGUGCAAACACGAAAGUGGACGUAUACGGUGUGACGCCUGCCCGGUGCCGGAAGGUUAAUUGAUGGGGUUAGCGGUAACGCGAAGCUCUUGAUCGAAGCCCCGGUAAACGGCGGCCGUAACUAUAACGGUCCUAAGGUAGCGAAAUUCCUUGUCGGGUAAGUUCCGACCUGCACGAAUGGCGUAAUGAUGGCCAGGCUGUCUCCACCCGAGACUCAGUGAAAUUGAACUCGCUGUGAAGAUGCAGUGUACCCGCGGCAAGACGGAAAGACCCCGUGAACCUUUACUAUAGCUUGACACUGAACAUUGAGCCUUGAUGUGUAGGAUAGGUGGGAGGCUUUGAAGUGUGGACGCCAGUCUGCAUGGAGCCGACCUUGAAAUACCACCCUUUAAUGUUUGAUGUUCUAACGUGGGCCCCUUACCGGGGUUGCGGACAGUGUCUGGUGGGUAGUUUGACUGGGGCGGUCUCCUCCUAAAGAGUAACGGAGGAGCACGAAGGUUGGCUAAUCCUGGUCGGACAUCAGGAGGUUAGUGCAAUGGCAUAAGCCAGCUUGACUGCGAGCGUGACGGCGCGAGCAGGUGCGAAAGCAGGUCAUAGUGAUCCGGUGGUUCUGAAUGGAAGGGCCAUCGCUCAACGGAUAAAAGGUACUCCGGGGAUAACAGGCUGAUACCGCCCAAGAGUUCAUAUCGACGGCGGUGUUUGGCACCUCGAUGUCGGCUCAUCACAUCCUGGGGCUGAAGUAGGUCCCAAGGGUAUGGCUGUUCGCCAUUUAAAGUGGUACGCGAGCUGGGUUUAGAACGUCGUGAGACAGUUCGGUCCCUAUCUGCCGUGGGCGCUGGAGAACUGAGGGGGGGCUGCUCCUAGUACGAGAGGACCGGAGUGGACGCAUCACUGGUGUUCGGGUUGUCAUGCCAAUGGCACUGCCCGGUAGCUAAAUGCGGAAGAGAUAAGUGCUGAAAGCAUCUAAGCACGAAACUUGCCCCGAGAUGAGUUCUCCCUGACUCCUUGAGAGUCCUGAAGGAACGUUGAAGACGACGACGUUGAUAGGCCGGGUGUGUAAGCGCAGCGAUGCGUUGAGCUAACCGGUACUAAUGAACCGUGAGGCUUAACCUU
This 2905-nucleotide ribosomal RNA is filed under the name Escherichia coli. Its description in RNAcentral is "23S ribosomal RNA". It matches the Rfam family "Bacterial large subunit ribosomal RNA". The record is from RNAcentral. Lineage: Bacteria; Pseudomonadati; Pseudomonadota; Gammaproteobacteria; Enterobacterales; Enterobacteriaceae.